AUAAAUGCAUUUGGCUUCCUUACCUUGAGUAUUGAAUCAACAUUUGAAAACAAAGUAAUCAACCUUUGGCAAUUUGGUUUCCUGGAUCUUUCAGCCAUCUCCUCCCCCAACUCUCUGCUUCCCCUUCUUCUACCUCUCGCCUCCUCCCCCUCCAAUCUGGCUUUCCCUCCUUCCUGGCAGCAUUUUUAGCUUUAAUUUGAUAGUAAAAAACUGAAUCCAAAGUUACAAAAUUCUUCAGAUUCAACUUCUUUGAAAGAAAAAGAAGUUUUAGAAAAAGAAUAGAUAUCGCAGCUUCUAACCAGAACUCCUUCCGAGGCACAUGUCCCCCACAUGUGGCAGGUGCCCUAUGAAGGUGAAACAGAUAAUAUUCAUUCAGGAAAUAUUCCCGUAUUUAAAAAUGGGUUUUCUUUUUUAGCUCUUAGAACAGCCACUUUUCUGGGCCCCAGAGAUAAGAAGGGAACAAAACAAAGUCCCCAUUCUCAUUAAACUUACGCUCUACUGGAACAACAGACAAAAACAAAUGACCAAACCAACAUAUUAAAAAUGGUUAGUGAUAAAUACUAUGAAAAU
This is a long non-coding RNA of Homo sapiens (human), 570 nucleotides long. The record is from Ensembl. Lineage: Eukaryota; Metazoa; Chordata; Mammalia; Primates; Hominidae.